AUUGAACGCUGGCGGCAUGCUUUACACAUGCAAGUCGAACGGCAGCACGGGUGCUUGCACCUGGUGGCGAGUGGCGAACGGGUGAGUAAUGCAUCGGAACGUGCCCAUGAGUGGGGGAUAGCCCGGCGAAAGCCGGAUUAAUACCGCAUACGCCCUUAGGGGGAAAGCGGGGGAUCUUCGGACCUCGCGCUAUUGGAGCGGCCGAUGUCGGAUUAGCUAGUAGGUGAGGUAAAGGCUCACCUAGGCGACGAUCCGUAGCUGGUCUGAGAGGAUGAUCAGCCACACUGGGACUGAGACACGGCCCAGACUCCUACGGGAGGCAGCAGUGGGGAAUUUUGGACAAUGGGCGCAAGCCUGAUCCAGCCAUGCCGCGUGAGUGAAGAAGGCCUGGUUGUAA
RNAcentral lists this ribosomal RNA (397 nucleotides) under uncultured bacterium. RNAcentral describes it as "bacterial SSU rRNA". It matches the Rfam family "Bacterial small subunit ribosomal RNA", at positions 30 to 428 of the family's 1533-position model. The record is from RNAcentral.